AUUUUAUGUUUUUCUACGUGUUUCUGUGCACCUGUUCAUUUCAGAAUUGUUUUAUUAUUUAUGAGGAAUAUUUACUCUAAACGUCCCUAAUGAAUAUUUUGAUGAGAAAAUACGUCAGUAAACGUCCCUGUGAUAGCAAGAGGCCACCAUGUUAUUACAUAGUUAAAUGCUGUUAAUGACCUAAUGUUGACAAUGACCAUAUACAGUCUCUCAGAUCUAUAACAAUUCAAACCAGCGGUUCAUAACAGCACUUGAAGUCAUUAACCUGUUUUGCCGUGUUUGCCCACAUUAGAUGCAUUAUUUGUGUUUCGUUGCUUCGUAGCUAUAAACAGAGGUAAUUCUCUAAAAUAUCAAAAACUCUAUGUUCUAUAACAUUGCUUUGUCAACCAACAACAACAUCCAAAUUUCCAAACAUUUAAAGUAUUAUUGUUGAUUCGUAAAGGAUAGGAUUUGACGCAAAACAAAUUCUAUAAAAUGUUGAAUAACUGGGGCAGAUGGCAUGAGUGUUUGUAUAUACUCAAUACGGCACUGCACACUAGAGGAAACAGCCUUGGCCAGCAGUUGCAAGUAAAACGUUGCGAAAGCCACAACUCUGUUGUUCGUCUGACUUAGCUUUACUGUAUAUCCUUGGAUCUAUGCAAUGAUGAGUUUAAUGAUAUGGUGGUUAUUGUGGCUGUUAUUUGGUCAAGGAUUCACAAUGAAAAUGGGUUGGAAUGAAGAACUUGAGUUUUGUGAAGAAGAAUGGAAGAAAUUUGUGGCGGACAAAAUUGAAAUCGAUUCGAAAUGCAACAAUACUCGUACACGUUGUUGUGUUGAGGAGAAGAAAUAUCUCUUGGAGCGAUUUAAAAUGUUUAGUGAAAUAUGUCCACUUGAAGGGACAUGUGGAUGCAGCCCGAUUAUUAUGAACGUUACUGCGCCAUUCUACGGAUAUCGU
Molecule: long non-coding RNA, 934 nt
Organism: Xenia sp. Carnegie-2017
Lineage: Eukaryota; Metazoa; Cnidaria; Anthozoa; Malacalcyonacea; Xeniidae
Exons: 4
Source: RefSeq, a predicted model, not a curated record